This 1507-nucleotide ribosomal RNA is filed under the name Marinomonas ostreistagni. RNAcentral's name for it is "bacterial SSU rRNA". It matches the Rfam family "Bacterial small subunit ribosomal RNA". Lineage: Bacteria; Pseudomonadati; Pseudomonadota; Gammaproteobacteria; Oceanospirillales; Oceanospirillaceae. The record is from RNAcentral.
AUUCAUGGCUCAAAUUGAACGCUGGGGGCAGGCUUAACACAUGCAAGUCGAGGGGUAACAGGAAUUAGCUUGCUAAUUUGCUGACGAGGGGGGGACGGGUGAGUAACGGGUAGGAAUCUGCCUAGUAGUGGGGGACAACAUGUGGAAACGCAUGCUAAUACCGCAUACGCCCUACGGGGGAAAGGAGGGGAUCUUCGGACCUUUCGCUUUUAAAUGAGCCUGGGUGAAAUUAGCUAGUUGGUGGGGUAAAGGCUCACCAAGGGGACGAUCUCUAGCUGGUCUGAAAGGAUGAUCAGCCACACUGGGACUGAAACACGGCCCAAACUCCUACGGGAGGCAGCAGUGGGGAAUUUUGGACAAUGGGGGCAACCCUGAUCCAGCCAUGCCGGGUGUGUGAAAAAGGCCUUAGGGUUGUAAAGCACUUUCAAAGGUGAGGAAGGUUUUGGGGUUAAUACCCGUUUAAUUUGACGUUAGCCUCAGAAAAAGCACCGGCUAACUCUGUGCCAGCAGCCGGGGUAAUACAAAGGGUGGGAGGGUUAAUCGGAAUUACUGGGGGUAAAGGGCGGGUAGGGGGUUUGUUAAGUCGGAUGUGAAAUCCCAGGGCUCAACCUUGGAAUGGCACCCGAUACUGGCAGGCUAAAGUACGGUAAAGGGGUGUGGAAUUUCCUGUGUAGGGGUGAAAUGGGUAGAUUUAGGAAGGAACAUCAGUGGGGAAGGGGACACCCUGGACCGAUACUGACGCUGAGGUGGGAAAGGGUGGGGAGCAAACAGGAUUAAAUACCCUGGUAGUCCACGCCGUAAACGAUGUCUACUAGCCGUUGGGGAUUUAUUUCUUUAGUGGGGCAGCUAACGGGAUAAGUAAACCGCCUGGGGAGUACGGCCGCAAGGUUAAAACUCAAAUGAAUUGACGGGGGCCCGCACAAGGGGUGGAGCAUGUGGUUUAAUUCGAAGCAACGGGAAAAACCUUACCUACUCUUGACAUCCAGUGAACUUUGGAAAGAUUUUUUGGUGCCUUCGGGAACACUGAAACAGGUGCUGCAUGGCUGUCGUCAGCUCGUGUUGUGAAAUGUUGGGUUAAGUCCCGUAACGAGGGCAACCCUUUUCCUUUUUUGCCAGCACUUCGGGUGGGAACUCUAAGGAAACUGCCGGUGACAAACCGGAGGAAGGUGGGGACGACGUCAAGUCAUCAUGGCCCUUACGAGUAGGGCUACACACGUGCUACAAUGGGGUUUACAAAGGGCAGGGAAACCGGGAGGUGGAGCAAAUCCCAAAAAGUACGUCGUAGUCCGGAUUGGAGUCUGCAACUCGACUCCAUGAAGUCGGAAUCGCUAGUAAUCGUGAAUCAAAAUGUCACGGUGAAUACGUUCCCGGGCCUUGUACACACCGCCCGUCACACCAUGGGAGUUGAUUGCUCCAAAAGUAGCUAGCUUAACCUUCGGGAUGGGGGUUACCACGGAGUGAUCAAUGACUGGGGUGAAGUCGUAACAAGGUAGCCCUAGGGGAACCU